GAUGAACGCUGGCGGCGUGCCUAAUACAUGCAAGUCGAGCGAACAGAUGAGGAGCUUGCUCCUCUGACGUUAGCGGCGGACGGGUGAGUAACACGUGGAUAACCUACCUAUAAGACUGGGAUAACUUCGGGAAACCGGAGUUAAUACCGGAUAAUAUAUUGAACCGCAUGGUUCAAUAGUGAAAGACGGUUUUGCUGUCACUUAUAGAUGGAUCCGCGCCGCAUUAGCUAGUUGGUAAGGUAACGGCUUACCAAGGCAACGAUGCGUAGCCGACCUGAGAGGGUGAUCGGCCACACUGGAACUGAGACACGGUCCAGACUCCUACGGGAGGCAGCAGUAGGGAAUCUUCCGCAAUGGGCGAAAGCCUGACGGAGCAACGCCGCGUGAGUGAUGAAGGUCUUCGGAUCGUAAAACUCUGUUAUUAGGGAAGAACAAAUGUGUAAGUAACUAUGCACGUCUUGACGGUACCUAAUCAGAAAGCCACGGCUAACUACGUG
RNAcentral lists this ribosomal RNA (497 nucleotides) under uncultured bacterium. RNAcentral's name for it is "partial 16S ribosomal RNA". It matches the Rfam family "Bacterial small subunit ribosomal RNA", at positions 28 to 507 of the family's 1533-position model. The record is from RNAcentral.